Long non-coding RNA from Oncorhynchus tshawytscha (Chinook salmon), 1507 nucleotides. The record is from Ensembl. NCBI's taxonomy places the organism in Eukaryota, Metazoa, Chordata, Actinopteri, Salmoniformes, Salmonidae.
AUUUAUGAUUUCGGGUUUCGGGCAGGGCCAGGCUUUAAAUUUGCAGAAGUAAUCAGGCCUGGUUCGGGUGGGGCCUGAAUGUCGUGGGCCUGGGUAGGUAAUGAAUGUCGUGGGCCUGAAUGUCGUGGGCCUGGGUAGGUAAUGAAUGUCGUAGGCCUGGGUAGAUCAUGAAUGUUGCGGGCCUGAAUGUCGUGGGCCUGGGUAGAUCAUGAAUGUCGUGGGCCUGGGUAGGUAAUGAAUGUCGCGGGCCUGGGUAGAUAAUGAAUGUCGUGGGCCUGGGUAGAUAAUGAAUGUCGUGGGCCUGGGUCGGUAAUGAAUGUCAUGGGCCUGGGUAGAUUAUAAAUGUCGCAGGCUUGAAUAUCACGGGCAUGGGUAUGAUUCGGGCUUAAAAUUCAUGCCAGUGCAGGGCUCUCCCAGAAUAUUCUAUAGCAUAAUGUGGUUAGCUGAUACGUAAAAUACCUAUCCAGGCUUUGUCAUUUCUGGCAUGAAUCAGCUAUAUCUGAGCAAUAUCCCUCCCCACUCCAUCUGCAGUAUAGGUUUGGUAGUCUUUAUAACAGAGUGUAUAUGCUCUGUCCUCGUUGGCUGGCUGGGUCCUUGCUGACAGGUUGGCAGUGAGAGGUAUCAUUUAUCACCAGGCCUGAGGGCUCACCACACCACAAGCACCAGAUGUUACCACCACACACACACACACACACACACACAUAUACAUACACCGUUGUGUGCUAUUGUUCUCCCUCACCGGUCUUUGUUCUUUCUCCCCCAUACACACCUGGAUAUCCACACACACACACACCAAAGCAAGCUGUCCUUCCUUCCACACAAAUGACCAGCUCAGUACUGUGUGUACUGUAGUGACUUCACCCUCACUGGUACAGCAAGGCAACAGACUGUUGAUACAUGACAUCAACAUACUGUUGACUUCAACAUAAAACACAGGACGUCCUCCAACCUAUCAGAGUUCUUGCAGCAUAAACUGACAUGUUGUCCACCCAAUCAAAGGUUGAGAGAAUUUAUCUAGUACUGAAAUCAUAAGUUACAGCUAGCUAGCACUGCAGUGCAUAAAAUGUGGUGAGUAUUUGACUCAAAGUGAGAAAAAUAAUAAUUUCUUCCAAAAUUAUGGAGAAGCAAGAAAGUGAGAAAGAGAGCUAGUUCUUGUAAUUCUUACCAGCAAUCUGGCCAUCCAAAAUCACAACAACACACUGACCUCUGCCCCAUGGAAGUGCACACAUAAUUUGUGUGACAUUGUCAGCUAACCCAUCUAUACCCCUAUGCCUGAGACGGAAGAAGAAGCAAGACAUCCCACUCCCUAAUUUUUUCUGGUUCAUAUACAGUCAAUGAACUAAGCAGACCCAUUUGCUAAUGCAUUGGUGCCUAUGAGAGAGCCACACUGUUAAGCAGACCGGAACUGACAGUGGGAGAUCUUUAUUUAUCCACCAUCUUUGGUCAGGCAUCAUUGAUGUGGUCCUUUGUACCACAGUUGGUAGAGCAUGGCAUUUGUAGCGCCAAG